CAGCCGCCGCGGUAAUACGUAGGGUGCAAGCGUUAAUCGGAAUUACUGGGCGUAAAGCGUGCGCAGGCGGUUCUAUAAGACAGAUGUGAAAUCCCCGGGCUCAACCUGGGAACUGCAUUUGUGACUGUAGAGCUGGAGUGCGGCAGAGGGGGAUGGAAUUCCGCGUGUAGCAGUGAAAUGCGUAGAUAUGCGGAGGAACACCGAUAGCGAAGGCAAUCCCCUGGGCCUGCACUGACGCUCAUGCACGAAAGCGUGGGGAGCAAACAGGAUUAGAUACCCCCGUAGUCCCUGUCUCUUAUAC
Molecule: ribosomal RNA, 301 nt
Filed under: uncultured bacterium
Lineage: Bacteria
Description: partial 16S ribosomal RNA
Rfam family: Bacterial small subunit ribosomal RNA
Source: RNAcentral